UUAAUGAUGAGAGAUGGUAUCUGAAGAGCAAACAAAUUUUUGUUGAAAAACAUUUUACCAUCACUGCUGCCUUCCUUCUGAUAAU
Molecule: small nucleolar RNA, 85 nt
Organism: Scaptodrosophila lebanonensis
Lineage: Eukaryota; Metazoa; Arthropoda; Insecta; Diptera; Drosophilidae
Product: small nucleolar RNA U83
Exons: 1
Source: RefSeq, a predicted model, not a curated record